UACGAAGGGGGCUAGCGUUGCUCGGAAUCACUGGGCGUAAAGCGCACGUAGGCGGCUUUUUAAGUCAGGCGUGAAAUCCCCGGGCUUAACCUGGGAAUGGCGCUUGAAACUACGGGACUGGAGUAUGGCAGAGGGAGGUGGAAUUCCUGGUGUAGCGGUGAAAUGCGUAGAUAUCAGGAGGAACACCUGUGGUGUAGACAGCUUACUGGACCAUUUCUGACGCUGAGACACGAAAGCGUGGGUAGCAAACAGG
This 253-nucleotide ribosomal RNA is filed under the name uncultured bacterium. Its description in RNAcentral is "partial 16S ribosomal RNA". It matches the Rfam family "Bacterial small subunit ribosomal RNA", at positions 524 to 776 of the family's 1533-position model. The record is from RNAcentral.